GACGAACGCUGGCGGCGUGCCUAAUACAUGCAAGUCGAGCGAACAUUUGAGAGCUUGCUCUCAGGAUGUUAGCGGCGGACGGGUGAGUAACACGUGGGCAACCUGCCUAUAAGACUGGGUUAACUUCGGGAAACCGGAGCUAAUACCGGAUAAUUCAUAUCUACUCAUGUAGAUAUGCUGAAAGACGGUUUACGCUGUCACUUAUAGAUGGGCCCGCGGCGCAUUAGCUAGUUGGUGAGGUAACGGCUCACCAAGGCCACGAUGCGUAGCCGACCUGAGAGGGUGAUCGGCCACACUGGGACUGAGACACGGCCCAGACUCCUACGGGAGGCAGCAGUAGGGAAUCUUCCGCAAUGGACGAAAGUCUGACGGAGCAACGCCGCGUGAGUGAUGAAGGUUUUCGGAUCGUAAACUCUGUUGUUAGGGAGAACAAGUACCAGAGUAACUGCUGGUACCUUGACGGUACCUAACCAGAAAGCCACGGCUAACUAC
This 492-nucleotide ribosomal RNA is filed under the name uncultured bacterium. RNAcentral describes it as "bacterial SSU rRNA". It matches the Rfam family "Bacterial small subunit ribosomal RNA", at positions 28 to 504 of the family's 1533-position model. The record is from RNAcentral.